This is a long non-coding RNA of Fukomys damarensis (Damara mole-rat), 753 nucleotides long. RefSeq lists it as uncharacterized. The transcript has 3 exons. Lineage: Eukaryota; Metazoa; Chordata; Mammalia; Rodentia; Bathyergidae. The record is from RefSeq and is a predicted model, not a curated record.
UCUCCACAGAUCGGACCGCGUGUGACUAAGACGUGGAUCCCAGGAGACGGCUGCACCACGGUCCCCUGCCCUUUCUGCGCAUGCCCCGUCCCGAGACGCUCGCGCGCAGCCUGGGCCGCGGGGCCGCGUGGGCGGCGGCGGACGUCAGUCAGCGCGUCAGGUUCAACCUUGGUACAAGUAAUCCAGUUAAUUCCCGAUAUGCAGAAGAGGCACAGAAUGACAAGGGCCACAUGGUCUCACUCAUGUACACAGGUCUUGGAUCCGUUUGGGAGCACGCCGCUAGUGUGCUCGUAUCACACAAGAGUCCCAUUUGGGAGCUCAUUGCAUGGGCCUCAUUUCAGCUUUCCCAAAAUGGCUUUCCUGUUGAGCAGCAUUAAUUAGAAACUGCACUCUGCUCUGUGAUUGACGGUGCUACCUUUGACUUCCCACCCACACUCCCAGAACUCAGGGAACACUGGAGCCAUUGGCACCACAGACAUAAAGAUUACCCAAGCUCGUGAGAUUGUGUCGUGUGUGAACUAGAAAGCGGGUGAAGUGGGGCUGCAGGCUGCAGGCUGCAGAGGAGAAAGCCGAGGUCACAGCAAUGGAAACCACCACAGCGCAUCUAGGAAGGUGGGCAGUGACGAGAACGAAGCAGAGGGGGCAGCAGCAGAAGAGCUCGCCCCUGUGCCACUGCCCUGGAUCCUCCCCACAGGAGCACCCACGGCACACCCACCCCAAACCCCCAAACGUGACCAAUGAGAAAUGCAGCCA